RNAcentral lists this ribosomal RNA (200 nucleotides) under uncultured bacterium. RNAcentral's name for it is "partial 16S ribosomal RNA". It matches the Rfam family "Bacterial small subunit ribosomal RNA", at positions 28 to 231 of the family's 1533-position model. The record is from RNAcentral.
GACGAACGCUGGCGGCGUGCUUAACACAUGCAAGUCGAACGAUGAACCACUUCGGUGGGGAUUAGUGGCGAACGGGUGAGUAACACGUGGGCAAUCUGCCCUGCACUCUGGGACAAGCCCUGGAAACGGGGUCUAAUACCGGAUACUGAUCACCUUGGGCAUCCAAGGUGAUCGAAAGCCCCGGCGGUGCAGGAUGAGCC